ACUUACGGCCAUACCAUCCUGAAUACGCCCGAUCUCGUCUGAUCUCGGAAGCUAAGCAGGGUCGGGCCUGGUUAGUACUUGGAUGGGAGACCAACUGGGAAUACCAGGUGCUGUAAGUG
Ribosomal RNA from Hucho hucho (huchen), 119 nucleotides. NCBI's taxonomy places the organism in Eukaryota, Metazoa, Chordata, Actinopteri, Salmoniformes, Salmonidae. The record is from Ensembl.